Molecule: ribosomal RNA, 296 nt
Filed under: uncultured bacterium
Lineage: Bacteria
Description: partial 16S ribosomal RNA
Rfam family: Bacterial small subunit ribosomal RNA
Source: RNAcentral
GGCGGAUUUGUUAAGUCAGAUGUGADUUCCCCGAGCUUAACUUGGCNGCAUUUGAAACUAGACAGCUAGAGUCUUGUAGAGGGGRGUAGAAUUCCAGGUGUAGCGGUGAAAUGCGUAGAGAUCUGGAGGAAUACCGGUGGMRAAGGCGRCCAMCUGGACAAAGACUGACGCUCAGGUGCGAAAGCGUGGGGAGMAAACAGGAUUAGAUACCCURGUAGUCCACGCUGUAAACGAUGUCGAAUUUGGAGGUUGUGGGCUUGACCMGUGGCUWCCGGACKAACGMGAUUAAAUCGACC